AAGGGGGCUUUUUCUUUCUUUCGCUCUUUCUUCUCGCAGGGAGGAAAGUUGCUUCGCACAAGAACAUGUUGUCAAGGAAAUAAACCUUAGCGAGGGUAGGCAUUAAACACACAGCUGCUGGACUUGGCCGGGCCUUAGACACUGGUGGUAAUGACAAUGAUGCUUAGUGGCAGCAAACCAGAUCCAAACAUAAAUAGGGCUGCAUGAAAGGAGAGGAAAUGGAACAAAACGGUUCCUCGGGUACCACUGGCAGAGGAAUAACAUCAAUUUCGAUUAAAAAGCGAAAGAAUUCUCCUGUUUCCACACAUUAGUAAAGGCAUGCAAAUUCAUAACUCACCAACAAUGUACCUUUGAAAUGCAGCUGCACCCCACAAACGGGGCCUUUCUGCGUGCAGAGAAGCAGCCCUGUUUUAAGCAGAAAGAAAACAACUAUUGAAAAAGCCACAAGAGUCCGUGGCAGCAAGGAGGGGCGCCGGGAGAGGUGGAGGAAACGUGUUGGGUCUGGCAGAUGCGAGACACCGGCGUUUUCCAUAGAAAGGAGCCUUCAUUUCUGGUCGUCCCCCAAAGAAGUGGUUCUUCCUGGGAUCCUCCAGCAGCGUUCUUGUUGGGUGCACAACGCCGUUUUGAUAUCUCCACCUGCUGGAGAAAUCCCAGCACGCACAAAGGAGCCGGCCUCUGCCUUCUGAAAAAUACCCAUCUCCUCCGCACCAGGACAGCACAGCCUCCUUUCCUCCUCCUCCUCCUCCUCCUCUGGGUCAGGAAGAAAGCACAGGGCACGAUGUUCGUCCUGCCAGUGACACUUGCAGACGUUUUCAUCUGCACAGGAGAAAUGUUUCUUCAGAACUGCAUCGAGAGGGAUACAGUAAAAACACUUCUAACACGAUACAGAUGAAAGGCAUCAAAAUCCUUGGGCAAGGUAUCAGCCGCCUCUUCUAAAACUGUUUUUGGGAAUUUUUGGUGGCUGUUGUUGCAGACCCCCUGUACUCAGAAAAAAAAUAAAAAUAAAAAUAUAUAUGUGUAUAAAACCCA
This 1029-nucleotide long non-coding RNA is filed under the name Anas platyrhynchos platyrhynchos (common mallard). Its description in RNAcentral is "lncRNA (ENSAPLG00000016550.1)". Lineage: Eukaryota; Metazoa; Chordata; Aves; Anseriformes; Anatidae. The record is from RNAcentral.